AGAAUCUGAGACCCAAGAGCUGGAUUAAGUGUCCAACAGCCUCGUUUUACAGAGGAAUGAACCAAGACUCAUGGGAGAAGUCACGGACAAAGCCAGAUAAGAGCCCAGGACUGGAUCUUCCCACCCACUGCACCACACUGUCUGUCCCGCUCCUCCUCCCCUUCAGCUUAGCACUGUGACAGGGAAAUGAAGCCCAGAGAAGGAUGGCGACAGACCCAAGAUCGCACAGAACACCCAUCUCCUGACUCCCAGUCCAGAACUCUUUCCCCUGCGGUAAACUCCUUGUUCAGAUCACAUAUGAAGAGUUGGGUCAAGCAGGAUUAGAGCCCGGGAGCAACUUUCCCAAGACUGGGCGAUGUUGAUGAAGUAACUGGAGCUUCUGUGGCUUCUUGAUGUCAUCCCCCACUACUUCUUCCUUUAAUCCAGUUUCUGAUGAGGAGGUGCUCUUCUUUUGGCCAAGACAAACCCUUCUACAGCUCUAUCCCUCAUUAGAUGACCUGACCAGCUCCUGUGGGUUUAAUUACCAUUUCUCUGCAGAUGUUUCCUAGAUCUAUACAACCAUCUGUGGUCUCUCUUCCAAACUCAUCAGAUCCAUCAUAAAUGCUUGGUGAUUGCUUGAUUGCAGUGGAUUUGGAGUCAGAAGACCCGGAUUCAAUUUCCAUCUCAAUUAAUGGCAACAUUCACUUGGAGAAGUCCCCUCCUGUCCUUUGGCCCUUGCAGCUUCAUCUAUAAACUUAUGGAUGUGAGCCGGAUUAUUUCGAAGCUCCCUUCUGGCUCUCAGCUGGCCAGUCGUGUGAUCUCCUCUGACCUGCUCAGAAGAAGCAAAAACAUUCUGACGAUCUGAGCCAUCCAGCUGUGGCGUGACAGGACAGGCCGGGGGUUAGAAAUCCCCGUCGCUGGAUGCUGCAGGACUCAGAGCUGGAAGGGACAUUUGGAUGCCUUUUUUCAGAGGGUCAGGCCCAGAGACUAUUCAACGUCACCGCUAGUAAGUGUCAGGGUUCAUAACAGUAGAGCAUUUACUGAUGAGGAAAC
Phascolarctos cinereus (koala) is the source of this 1032-nucleotide non-coding RNA. The record is from RefSeq and is a predicted model, not a curated record. Lineage: Eukaryota; Metazoa; Chordata; Mammalia; Diprotodontia; Phascolarctidae.